This 98-nucleotide transfer-messenger RNA is filed under the name Sphingobacteriales bacterium. Its description in RNAcentral is "partial transfer-messenger RNA". It matches the Rfam family "transfer-messenger RNA", at positions 269 to 374 of the family's 374-position model. Rfam says of the family: Bacterial tmRNA, also known as 10Sa RNA or SsrA, is named for its dual tRNA and mRNA-like properties. Its role is to liberate the mRNA from a stalled ribosome. The record is from RNAcentral. Lineage: Bacteria; Pseudomonadati; Bacteroidota; Sphingobacteriia; Sphingobacteriales.
GUUCCUGCUUAGUCCCGACAAUUAAUUCAUAAAUAAACAUGUAGAAAGCUUGUGGCGAAUUUGUUUGGACACCGGUUCGAGUCCGGUCGGCUCCACUA